This is a non-coding RNA of Pelobates cultripes (western spadefoot toad), 258 nucleotides long. The record is from the annotation of a GenBank genome assembly. NCBI's taxonomy places the organism in Eukaryota, Metazoa, Chordata, Amphibia, Anura, Pelobatidae.
UGUCUCCCUCCUUUUUUGCACCCAUCACCAUUGCCACUUUGUUUGCAUAGGCCAAUAAGGUUUCUGGGCUAAUGUCCUCAGGGGCUCCGCGUAUGCGGACAUUUCUUCUGCGGUGGCGCGUCUCCAUCUCCGUGACUGUGCGAGUGAGUCUUUGGAGUUGGAGUGUCAGUGCAUCCGUUUGCCUUCUGGAGUCAGUCAGUAAGGCGUCUCUUUGGCCUUCUCGAGUUUCCACUGCCUCCAAGCGCCCCUUCAUGUCUG